RNAcentral lists this ribosomal RNA (533 nucleotides) under Cenococcum geophilum. RNAcentral's name for it is "eukaryotic LSU rRNA". The stretch from base 171 to 324 matches the Rfam family "5.8S ribosomal RNA". The record is from RNAcentral. Lineage: Eukaryota; Fungi; Ascomycota; Dothideomycetes; Gloniales; Gloniaceae.
UCCGUAGGUGAACCUGCGGAAGGAUCAUUACAGAAAGUAAACGCGGAUCAAACCGCGAACUUCUAAACCUUUGACGAUUGACUCAUGUUGCCUCGGCGGGUUCUCCCGCCAGAGGAUACGUCAAAACUCCUGUUUUAACGGUGUUGUCUGAGCUACAAGCAACGAAUCAAAACUUUCAACAACGGAUCUCUUGGUUCUGGCAUCGAUGAAGAACGCAGCGAAAUGCGAUAAGUAGUGUGAAUUGCAGAAUUCAGUGAAUCAUCGAAUCUUUGAACGCACAUUGCGCCCCUUGGAAUCCCGAGGGGCAUGCCUGUUCGAGCGUCAUUUUACCACUCAAGCCUGGCUUGGUGUUGGGCGACGUCCCCUUUGGGGACGCGCCUCGAAACGCUCGGCGGCGUGGCACCGGCUUUAAGCGUAGCAGAAUCUUUCGCUUCAAAAGUCGGGGCCCCGUCUGCCGGAAGACCUACUCGCAAGGUUGACCUCGGAUCAGGCAGGGAUACCCGCUGAACUUAAGCAUAUCAAUAAGCGGAGGA